Molecule: long non-coding RNA, 353 nt
Organism: Entelurus aequoreus (snake pipefish)
Lineage: Eukaryota; Metazoa; Chordata; Actinopteri; Syngnathiformes; Syngnathidae
Exons: 3
Source: RefSeq, a predicted model, not a curated record
AGGAGAGCCCCGCCACCCAACAGAGGAAACUCAUUUCGGCCGCUUGUACCUGUGAUCUUGUCCUUUCGUUCAUAAGCCAAACUUCAUGAACAUAGUUGGGCCGUGCCGUAGCGGGGGAACUUAGCUGCAGUUCACUUGCUACUGAUGAGCCACAAGCCAGCAGAAGUGGACAAAAUAAAAUCUACCUUAUGGAAAUAUCAGGUUCAAAGCCAUGGCAAGUUGUUCUCCCGACAAGAAAAGACUAUUUUUCACAGCGAGAAAAAGUGACAUCCCUGCGGCAAACACCUGCUGCGCACAUCGUACAGAGGUGAGUUGCAUGAUUUAUGAUCUACAAUAAAGUUUGACAAGCAAGG